UGUGUAAUAAUAAAUGUGUUGAAGUUUAAUAAUUGAGGUCUGUUCGGUCUGCAUGGCUGCACUAACAGCUGCUGCAGCAGGAGGCAGAAAGAAGAGAGGAGCAGUUAUCACUUCCUGCCAACAGCAUCAGCACAAACGUGUCGGCCUGACACUGACCUCUAGUGGUCGUUUGACCUGAUGCAAAGCAGGAAGUAGCGUGACGUUAGCGAGCGGCAACCUCCGGGGCUGAGAAAUGAAGCCAACAGGAAGUGCCAAAACUGCAGUUCCUCGGACGGCCACUCGAGGCUCCAAAAGGAAGUCGGCCCCCACGGAGCCCCGAGUUAAAACGCCCGACUUCACAGCAGAAAUAAACGUUUACAGCCUGGAACAAAAAAACGGUCUUUGUCUCUAAAGCUAAUUUCCCCGUCCAGGCCAGCUGUGAGGGGGCUGAUUAUUAUAUAACUCACCAGUUUAAAUUAUAUUAAGGCUAAAAGUUCUGCAUAAUUAAGGACGUGGCUGCUUUGAGUGACAGGUGGCCGCCCUCCCCAGUGGCCAGCCGCCAGGUGGUUUCUUCAACCAGGCUUCAUUCGGCCGCCUCAGCUCUUUGCCCAUUUUUGGAUUUGCCGGAGUCGGCCACUGCCAAGAUGGCGACGGCCGGAGUGGAGUGGAGGUCGAACUGAGGACAAAUGUACUGAUUGUGCAGCAUUUUGGACCUCCGUUGGAUAAUUAUGUCCUUCCGUGUCGACAGGCUGCUGCUGCAGAGUGGCUUCAUCUGUGUUAAUGAUCAUAAACUACAGCAUGUUAACAAGGCACUGAGUGAGAGCACUGAACAAACAUCACGGCAUCUCAAGGGACCGAGAUGCAGUUUGGGAAGCCACAGAGGAAUGACGUCAUCCUGCUGAUCAGAAAACACGUCUACGAGUGGUUUUUAAAAGAUCGGUCAUCAGGUGUUAACUGGAACAUCUGGAAGCUGUCAACAUCUGUGACUGAUCCCACUGACCGACAGCAGAGGCUUCUGUCACCUGACCUGCAGGAUUCGUCGGUUUCUGCACAGACGCUGUGUUUGUGUUCGUCCUGUACGUUGUGUUAACUCACACAACAAGUUUCAAUCUUCCUGCACGACCAGAACCUGAACCAGAACCAGAACCAGAACCUGUUCUGCUGGACGCGAACAGCAGUCCGUAAACUGAGCAGCUCGACGGAGCCGAAGAGUCUAAAAAUGUCAAAGUUAUAAAUCUGAUCUUUUGAACAGACUUGAAAAACAUUUCUAUGAAGUUGGAUAUUUUUAAAUAUUUAAUUCACUGAAGUGUAUUUAAUAUUUAUUGUAGUUAUUUUGUCGAUAUGACAACAGAUGUUUAAAAUCUGUUUUCUGUGAGGAAGUGUGAGUUCUAUUUACUCAUUUAUUAAAUUCUUCACUUUUCUUGGACUGAACACAGAGUUUAAACGAGUCCCUCGGGCGUCACCUGAGGGACUGUAACUGGAUUCAGGUCCCAGAUGAGCUCUGAGAGCUACAGCGCCCCUUAAAGGGUUAAUCCACCCAAAACAUCAAACCCGUUUGGACUCGCUGACUCGGGACGCUGCUUCUGCUCACAGCACUGAGCGGCUCUGUACGUCUGUGUAAGACUCAGAAAUGUAAAUCCACUGAUCGCCACAGUGAAACCAGCUGGUACUCAGCUGUUAGUGUGUUGACCUGAAUAUUACUGACACACACACACACACACACACACACACACACACACAGUCAUAACUGCGGAUAGUUUCAAUGAGGUGAAACUAUUUGAGACAUUCCUGAGAGCUGAUAAAGACUGAAGAGGAGGACAGAGGCAGUAACACCACCGAGUAAAAAUCCUGCAUUCGCAGUCCGGCUUUAAAGCUCCAGCAGAAGCAGCACAAGAGGAUUUCAGAGGCCUCUGUGGUGGGGGAAGUAUUCUGAUCCUUUACUUGUAGCAAUACCACAGCGUAGAAAUACUCCUCGUUCAUUUAAAAGUAUGUAAAUAUUAUCUGCGGUGGACGUAAAGCUCCGGCGUGUCACGUUCAGGAGCAGCUGUCGGCAGGAAUAUAACAUUCAUAAGUGUGUUUUCAUCAGUGUUUAAUCUCCUGAACAUAAGAACCGUUGUGUUUUCGUUACCUUAGCAUCAGCCUUUAUAUCUGCAGAGGGAGCGGGUCCCCUUCCACGGAGGCCGCCAUGUUGCGCCGCCAUGUUUCUACAGGAGCCCAGAACGGACAAACCAGACAGCGGCUCUAGAGCCGUUCGCUUCACCGUAGUUCCUCCUGCACGCUGGGAAGGGGAGGGCGAGGCGAGCGGCGUUCACGUGGCUGCAAACUGCAGUUUCACCACUAGAGGCCGCUAAAGCCUCCACGCCGGCCCUUUAAGUAUCAGCACCAAAAUAUACUUAAAGCACCAAA
Long non-coding RNA from Siniperca chuatsi (mandarin fish), 2385 nucleotides. RefSeq lists it as uncharacterized. The transcript has 3 exons. NCBI's taxonomy places the organism in Eukaryota, Metazoa, Chordata, Actinopteri, Centrarchiformes, Sinipercidae. The record is from RefSeq and is a predicted model, not a curated record.